UAUUAGAAUCCCAUUGGAUAGGCGGAGAAGCCGGCAGCACUGCGGGAAUACCAGUGCCAGAGAAAAGGUUAGUAAAAUUAUUUUUGUUAUUUGUUUUAUUGUAGUUAGCGGGUCGUCGGGACUUACUAUAGACUAGAGCAGUACAGCGUUAGAAAUACAGGUUUGUAUUCCUUAACGCUAUAAUUUUCCUUUUAACUUACCUUAAAU
Pelobates cultripes (western spadefoot toad) is the source of this 207-nucleotide non-coding RNA. The record is from the annotation of a GenBank genome assembly. Lineage: Eukaryota; Metazoa; Chordata; Amphibia; Anura; Pelobatidae.